This 442-nucleotide ribosomal RNA is filed under the name uncultured bacterium. Its description in RNAcentral is "partial 16S ribosomal RNA". It matches the Rfam family "Bacterial small subunit ribosomal RNA", at positions 338 to 795 of the family's 1533-position model. The record is from RNAcentral.
CCUACGGGAGGCAGCAGUAGGGAAUCUUUCACAAUGGGCGAAAGCCUGAUGGAGCAACGCCGCGUGCAGGAUGAAGGCCCUCGGGUUGUAAACUGCUUUUAUAAGCGAGAAAUAUGAUGGUAACUUAUGAAUAAGGAUCGUCUAACUACGGGCCAGCAGCCGCGGUCAUACGUAGGAUCCGAGCAUUAUCCGGAGUGACUGGGUGUAAAGAGUUGCUUAGGUGGCAUAAUAAGUAGCUAGUGAAAUCUGGUGGCUCAACCAUUCAGACUAUUAGCUAAACUGUGAAGCUCGAGACCGUUAGGGGUAACUGGAAUUUCGAGUGUAGGAGUGAAAUCCGUAGAUAUUAGCAGGAACACCAAUAGCGUAGGCAGGUUGCUGGGACGGUUCUGACACUAAGGCACGAAAGCGUAGGGAGCAAACGGGAUUAGAUACCCUGGUAGUC